GGUCUCAUGGUGUAAUGGUGAGCACUCUGGACUUUGAAUCCAGCUAUCCGAGUUCGAGUCUCGGUGAGACCU
This is a non-coding RNA of Dermacentor albipictus, 72 nucleotides long. The record is from the annotation of a RefSeq genome assembly. Lineage: Eukaryota; Metazoa; Arthropoda; Arachnida; Ixodida; Ixodidae.